ACUUAGAUAAAUCUGAAUUUGAAUUGUCCCAAGGUAAAAUUAUGUAGCUGGAUCAAUUAAAAUUAACAUCGAAAUUUCUAUAGAAUUUCCAUUAAGAUUAUCCAGUACCUAUGUUAAAGACAGUUAAUCCUAAAAUCGAACUACAAAAUUCUAUGUCUUCAUGAACAAAUAAAACCAAGGAAAUUGGGUUUUUAAAUUUUUAUUGAAUACACAAGUAAGGAUUUAAAAAUGUAAUUUUUCACCACUCACAAUACAUACCUUUUAUUUAGACCUCGCACGCAUCUUCCUACGUUUACGCUUUAGCCUUCGCAUACGCUUCUUACGCCACUGAAAAAGCUUUGCUCUCAUAUUCGUAAGCGGUAAGUUUUACUGGUGCACUUUUAAUGGGCUUCACAGCUCGGCGGAUUGAAAAGAAAUAUUACGAUUAAGGAAGAGUAGUUCUCCCGUGCUCAAUCUAAACGAAAAGACAGGAUAUUUGGAAUGAGAAUGUUACCAUAAAAUUUACAGUUAUUUAAUGUUACCAGUAUAUAGUAGCUGAUUGGUAUCUUUAUAAACAUUUUGUUACAUUACAUUACAUCUUUAACUUUCAAGGUACUAGCAGACAAACUUAUCACU
RNAcentral lists this unclassified non-coding RNA (615 nucleotides) under Melitaea cinxia (Glanville fritillary). Its description in RNAcentral is "misc RNA ENSMCXG00005005886.1". Lineage: Eukaryota; Metazoa; Arthropoda; Insecta; Lepidoptera; Nymphalidae. The record is from RNAcentral.